CAGGCCUUCCCAGCCCAGGUCCAAGCCCCAUGAGCCAGCCACCUGCUGGCACGCUCCCCGGCCCACACUAGGUACCCACAGCAGCGCUGAUUAUUUCCCAUUCCUUUCAGUGUCCCCGAAGGUCAUCUCUGGGUCCCUUCAUUAAGUGGCAGAGAGGUCUGCUUCUUGGCUGUCUUUGCCUCCUUCGCUUUCCAGUCUUCCCAGAAGGUUCUGUUUACAGCCAGAAAUCAAAGGAGCCUGGCUUUCCCCAGCCCCUUGGCAGCAAGGCAAGACUGGCUGCACGGUGGCUGUCACUCUGCACGGUGGCUGCCAAGCUGCAGAGCUCAGCCUGCCUGCCUCCCCCCCACCCCGUUAUUGUGAUGUGCUUGAUAAAUGACCUACUCCAGCCCCCUUCUUCUUGGGGAUGCUCAUAGUGUUCCUGGGGAAAGGCUAACCUGAGGAUGUGGAUUAGCAGAGGUGUGUGUGCGUGUGUGUGUGUGUGUGUGUGUGUUUUCUUGUUGAUGCUUCAGAGCAGACAGACUGGGAAACAGCUUUGCAGAAAGGUUAGGCAGGGUCGAGAAUAAUUAAGCUCACUUAAGUCACUGCGUUCCUUUCUUAGGGCUGCCACAACAAAUUAUCUCCAACUUGGUGGCAUAAAACAACAGAAAUGUGUCCUCACCACACCUCAGGCGAGAAGCCUGAAAUCAAGCUGUUUUCAGGGCCACACUCUCUCCAGAGACUGUCCCUUCCAGCUUCUGGUAGAUCCUGGUAACUCUUGGUAUCCCUCAGCUCGGGGCUGUAUGGCUCCCAUCUUGGUCUUCACAUGACCUUCUCUUGCAUGUUCUCCCCAGUCACUCAUGAAGACGUUUGUCACUGGAUAAACCGGGAUCAGCUCACCUCCAAGAUCCUUGAUGACAUCUGCAGAGACACUUUUCCCCAGUCAGGUCACGAUCACAGAUGCUGGGGGUAGGAGGUGGAUGUAAGUUUUGGGGGCCACCACUCAACCCACUAUGGUCAUAAGCACUUGGUUUUGCACAGAGGACGUGGCUGAAGGCAGGACUGAGGUUCAGAUGGAUCAGAUAGUUUGGAAGAAUCGGGGUGGGGCGGGGGCUGUUAGCUGUGAUCCCUGGGGCAGGGCUGUGGUUCUUGCCAUAAAGCAAGAGUAGGGAGAAGGCUGCCCCUGCUUGUCUCAGGAGCGGCCACCUGAGAGGGAGCCAGCCUGGGUACAGGAGCGACACUUCUCUGACCCCCGGGAAUUUCUAAGGACUGAGUCCUAUGUCUUGGGAAAACUUGUCCCCUGCUCCUGCCAGAGCCCCUCUAGUGGGCGCAGUGACAACAGUCAUAGGUUCUUGCAGCUGAGUGGCAUCUUUGCCUGGCCCAUUGUGGGGGUUGGUCCUAGGCACUGGCCACGUGUCAGGAUGCUGCUUCUCCUGGUGGGGUUCCGAGAAAGCCGGCUGGAAGGAUGAGGGAUUGGGGCCCGGAAUGGGAGGUUAGGCCCCUCCGUUCUGGGGAUGGCCACCCAGUGUCUUCCAAACCACUCAGAAGAGGCUGGGGUGGAGGCUGAGGCUGAGCCUGGGGGCUUGAGCACUUGAAUGGCACCUAGGUCGGCAGAUCUCGAGAGGCUAAGGUGGGCAACCCUAUAGUGUAUUAUCCAGCAGGGACGCUUGUGAGAGUCCAGUUACACUUGUUAACAGGCACUAACCAGGACUGUCCCUGGUAAGUGGGGGGUUCAAGUCGAAGACCCCCCCUCCCCGAGGACUGUGCCAGAGGCAGCACCAUUUACUUCCCUGGCAAAGCUCCUCAUCUGUUUAGGCAGAUGAGGCAGGAACGGGAGGGGUGCCUGGCCACUGUCAGGCCCACUGUCCCUCUCCUGAACUCCAGGCUGUCUCUGGGUCAGCGGCUCCCUGCUCCAGGCUGGUUAGCAUCCCCUUGGAGCUUUUCAGCAGUGCUGCUGCCCGUGCCCCACCCGGAGCAACCAGUUCAGAAUCUCUGUAGUGUCCCAGGCAGGUGAAGGUCCCUAAGUUAUUCUAAAGAACAGAAGGAUCCAAACCUACGUGGGCUGGGGAUGUGGCUCAAGCGGUGGCGCUCGCCUGGCAUGCGUGCGGCCCGGGUUCGAUCCUUAGCACCACAUACAAACAAAGAUAUUGUGUCCACCAAAAAACUAAAAAAUAAAUAUUAAAAAGUUCUCUCUCUCUCUCUCUCUCUUAAAAAAAAAAAAACACUUACGGGCACUGGAGAUCUC
Molecule: long non-coding RNA, 2221 nt
Filed under: Marmota monax (woodchuck)
Lineage: Eukaryota; Metazoa; Chordata; Mammalia; Rodentia; Sciuridae
Source: RNAcentral